UAACGGUUUAGUGAUGUUUUGGCAGU
RNAcentral lists this non-coding RNA (26 nucleotides) under Homo sapiens (human). Lineage: Eukaryota; Metazoa; Chordata; Mammalia; Primates; Hominidae. The record is from RNAcentral.